This is a long non-coding RNA of Drosophila sechellia, 746 nucleotides long. RefSeq lists it as uncharacterized. The transcript has 3 exons. NCBI's taxonomy places the organism in Eukaryota, Metazoa, Arthropoda, Insecta, Diptera, Drosophilidae. The record is from RefSeq and is a predicted model, not a curated record.
GUGGAUACUCAACUGAUGAAACCAUUACACAGGCAUUGCUGCAUAUUAUGCGAGUAAUAGCAAGGAAGAAUUCAAUUGAUGAGCAACAGCAAAGUUCCAUUUACGUGCUCGUAAGCUACAGCCGCGGCAGUCUGAUUCGCUCAAUCGAGCGACAACAAAGUUGGGCUCCAAAUAGAUAUAUAUCAGCAGCUUUAAAUAUAAAUCAAUAAGCGAGCAAAUGGCAAACGCUGCAUGUAAGCACUAAAUCAAAGUGUCAAUACGGGUAACUGAUACACUGGAGCGGAGCGGAGUCGAGUUGGCCAGCGGAAAUUGAAUUAUGCCCCGUUGGACUGCCAGACUUCAGUCUGGACAUGCAUGAAUGAGCGUUUGACUGAAUGGAUGCUGUUGCCGCGGUUGCUGCUACUGCUGCUGCUGAGGUGGCUGCUGCAAAUGUUGCUGCUGAAACCGCUGCCGCUUUGAGUGACAGACGGCGGACAAGUGGUGCUCGAAUCGGGUGCAACCACUUUCGUUGGCCAACGGACAUCGCCGACCGGCAGCGGCGACUGUGUGAAUCUGUGGUAUAUUUGCUGGAGUCGGCCAAAUCUAAUGUCCACGUCUGAACGAUUUCCUUUGCAAACCCGUUUCAGCGGGCAUUAGAUACGAUACGCAUAUGCGAUACUAUGGUUUAUGGUCCACAAUUAAAAUGGUGAGACGUGAGUGCACAGCCAGGGAAGUCUCUGUGAAGGGGUCGAUUUCCCUUUCAAAAG